CCUACGGGAGGCAGCAGUGGGGGAUAUUGCACAAUGGGGGAAACCCUGAUGCAGCGACGCCGCGUGGGCGCAGAAGUAUUUCGGUAUGUAAAGCCCUAUCAGCAGGGAAGAAGAAAUGACGGUACCUGAGUAAGAAGCACCGGCUAAAUACGUGCCAGCAGCCGCGCGAAUCCGUAGGGUGCAAUCGUUAUCCGGAUUUACGGGGUGUAAGGGGAGCGAAGGCGGCACGGCAGGCCUGAUGUGAAAGCCCGCGGCCCAAGGGGUGGAGUGCCUUGGGUACUGCCGGGCUGGAGUGCCGGUGCGGUAGGAGGAAUGUGUGGUGUAGCGGUGAAAUGCGUAGAUAUUAGGAGGAACACCAGUGGCGAAGGCGGCCUACGAAACGGUGAUUGACGCUGAGGCACGAAAGCGUGGGUAGCAAACAGGAUUAGAUACCCGUGUAGUC
Molecule: ribosomal RNA, 442 nt
Filed under: uncultured bacterium
Lineage: Bacteria
Description: partial 16S ribosomal RNA
Rfam family: Bacterial small subunit ribosomal RNA
Source: RNAcentral